Long non-coding RNA from Poecilia latipinna (sailfin molly), 693 nucleotides. RefSeq lists it as uncharacterized. The transcript is spliced from 3 exons. The record is from RefSeq and is a predicted model, not a curated record. Lineage: Eukaryota; Metazoa; Chordata; Actinopteri; Cyprinodontiformes; Poeciliidae.
CCUGCUCCACGGCCUCCAGAAUUGGCAGCAUUAUUGCUCCAUACUUCAUUUACUUACGAACCUAUUCGGUCUCCCUGCCUUACAUCCUAAUGGGAAGCCUGACCGCUGUGGCAGGGUUGCUGAGCCUCCUGCUGCCUGAGAGCUUUGGAAUGCCGCUGCCGGACACAAUCAGUCACAUGCAGCAGUUCCCUGGAUGUUGUCAGAAGACACCAAACUCUAAAUAUGAGGAAAAAGCUGGGGAACAAAGGUCUCAGGUCAAGAGGAGCCGCCCUCAAAUCAAUCAGCAGCUAUGAAGUGCAGAAAUGAGAAAAUCCAUCUGAUCAGGGAACCAAACAGAAAAAAACAUUUUGAAUGAUUUUUUGUCCAACAUUUCCUUGAAAAUCAUUAACAUACCUGUUCCGUUCUCUACUGUGCAUUAUUGUUAUCAUUUCUCUCCAUUAAUACAACUUCAGCCAUAGCUGAUAAACUGAAAAUGAUGUAGCAGAAUAAACAGUUUAGAAAGUAAAGUUACUCAAAUACAGGUUACAGGUUUUACCUUAAAUUUCGGUUUUACAUACAACACUGUGAAAUUGUCAGAUUGUCUAUAUAAUUUCUGAUUUGAUAAGAGUCACAUGAACCUGUCCUCCUUUUUAGCAGUUCUCUAAUAAAUCAUGCAUUUUUGAAACUGUGAUUCAAAAAUGUACAUUUGACUGA